This 124-nucleotide small RNA is filed under the name Desulfotomaculum nigrificans. RNAcentral describes it as "c-di-AMP sequence". It matches the Rfam family "c-di-AMP riboswitch aptamer (ydaO/yuaA leader)". From Rfam's summary of the family: This family represents a conserved RNA structure found upstream of the ydaO and yuaA genes in Bacillus subtilis and related genes in other bacteria. The ydaO/yuaA element is thought to act as a genetic "off" switch for the ydaO and yuaA genes in its native state. The record is from RNAcentral. Lineage: Bacteria; Bacillati; Bacillota; Clostridia; Eubacteriales; Desulfotomaculaceae. RNAcentral also lists the same sequence under 1 other name.
AUCUACUAAAUGCCGAAUCCCGUAACGGGUACGGAGGAACCGUUCUUGGGGUGAAUCCUUUUUAGGUAGGGUUAUCCUUGCCCGAACCCGUCAGCUAACUCCGGAGGCAAAAAGGAGAGGAUGG